Molecule: ribosomal RNA, 497 nt
Filed under: uncultured bacterium
Lineage: Bacteria
Description: partial 16S ribosomal RNA
Rfam family: Bacterial small subunit ribosomal RNA
Source: RNAcentral
GAUGAACGCUGGCGGCGUGCCUAAUACAUGCAAGUCGAGCGAACAGAUGAGGAGCUUGCUCCUCUGACGUUAGCGGCGGACGGGUGAGUAACACGUGGAUAACCUACCUAUAAGACUGGGAUAACUUCGGGAAACCGGAGCUAAUACCGGAUAAUAUAUUGAACCGCAUGGUUCAAUAGUGAAAGACGGUUUUGCUGUCACUUAUAGAUGGAUCCGCGCCGCAUUAGCUAGUUGGUAAGGUAACGGCUUACCAAGGCAACGAUGCGUUGACGACCUGAGAGGGUGAUCGCCCACACUGGAACUGAGCCACGGUCCUGACUCCUACGGGAGGCAGCAGUAGGGAAUCUUCCGCAAUGGGCGAAAGCCUGACGGAGCAACGCCGCGUGAGUGAUGACGGUCUUCGGAUCGUAAAACUCUGUUAUUAGGGAAGAACAAAUGUGUAAGUAACUAUGCACGUCUUGACGGUACCUAAUCAGAAAGCCACGGCUAACUACGUG